This 484-nucleotide ribosomal RNA is filed under the name uncultured bacterium. RNAcentral's name for it is "partial 16S ribosomal RNA". It matches the Rfam family "Bacterial small subunit ribosomal RNA", at positions 30 to 507 of the family's 1533-position model. The record is from RNAcentral.
AUUGAACGCUGGCGGCAGGCCUAACACAUGCAAGUCGAGCGGAUGAAGGGAGCUUGCUCCUGGAUUCAGCGGCGGACGGGUGAGUAAUGCCUAGGAAUCUGCCUGGUAGUGGGGGAUAACGUCCGGAAACGGGCGCUAAUACCGCAUACGUCCUGAGGGAGAAAGUGGGGGAUCUUCGGACCUCACGCUCUCAGAUGAGCCUAGGUCGGAUUAGCUAGUUGGUAGGGUAAAGGCCUACCAAGGCGACAAUCCGUAACUGGUCUGAGAGGAUGAUCAGUCACACUGGAACUGAGACACGGUCCAGACUCCUACGGGAGGCAGCAGUGGGGAAUAUUGGACAAUGGGCGAAAGCCUGAUCCAGCCAUGCCGCGUGUGUGAAGAAGGUCUUCGGAUUGUAAAGCACUUUAAGUUGGGAGGAAGGGCAGUAAGUUAAUACCUUGCUGUUUUGACGUUACCAACAGAAUAAGCACCGGCUAACUUCGUG